This 1179-nucleotide ribosomal RNA is filed under the name Salmonella enterica subsp. enterica serovar Infantis. RNAcentral's name for it is "partial 23S ribosomal RNA". It matches the Rfam family "Bacterial large subunit ribosomal RNA", at positions 61 to 1178 of the family's 2925-position model. The record is from RNAcentral. Lineage: Bacteria; Pseudomonadati; Pseudomonadota; Gammaproteobacteria; Enterobacterales; Enterobacteriaceae.
CUAAUCUGCGAUAAGCGCCGGUAAGGUGAUAUGAACCGUUAUAACCGGCGAUACCCGAAUGGGGAAACCCAGUGUGAUUCGUCACACUAUCAUUAACUGAAUCCAUAGGUUAAUGAGGCGAACCGGGGGAACUGAAACAUCUAAGUACCCCGAGGAAAAGAAAUCAACCGAGAUUCCCCCAGUAGCGGCGAGCGAACGGGGAGGAGCCCAGAGCCUGAAUCAGCAUGUGUGUUAGUGGAAGCGUCUGGAAAGGCGCGCGAUACAGGGUGACAGCCCCGUACACAAAAGCGCAUGUGCUGUGAGCUCGAUGAGUAGGGCGGGACACGUGGUAUCCUGUCUGAAUAUGGGGGGACCAUCCUCCAAGGCUAAAUACUCCUGACUGACCGAUAGUGAACCAGUACCGUGAGGGAAAGGCGAAAAGAACCCCGGCGAGGGGAGUGAAAAAGAACCUGAAACCGUGUACGUACAAGCAGUGGGAGCCCCACCACCAAAGCAUUCUCUGGUGUUGAAGGCCCUGCAAAGCAGCAUCGCGGUGGCGGAGCGUCGUUUGCGACGCCCAACACACAAAACAAGCGGUGAGUGCUUUGGGGUGGGGUGACUGCGUACCUUUUGUAUAAUGGGUCAGCGACUUAUAUUCUGUAGCAAGGUUAACCGUAUAGGGGAGCCGGAGGGAAACCGAGUCUUAACCGGGCGUUAAGUUGCAGGGUAUAGACCCGAAACCCGGUGAUCUAGCCAUGGGCAGGUUGAAGGUUGGGUAACACUAACUGGAGGACCGAACCGACUAAUGUUGAAAAAUUAGCGGAUGACCUGUGGCUGGGGGUGAAAGGCCAAUCAAACCGGGAGAUAGCUGGUUCUCCCCGAAAGCUAUUUAGGUAGCGCCUCGUGAAUUCAUCUCCGGGGGUAGAGCACUGUUUCGGCUAGGGGGCCAUCCCGGCUUACCAACCCGAUGCAAACUGCGAAUACCGGAGAAUGUUAUCACGGGAGACACACGGCGGGUGCUAACGUCCGUCGUGAAGAGGGAAACAACCCAGACCGCCAGCUAAGGUCCCAAAGUCAUGGUUAAGUGGGAAACGAUGUGGGAAGGCCCAGACAGCCAGGAUGUUGGCUUAGAAGCAGCCAUCAUUUAAAGAAAGCGUAAUAGCUCACUGGUCGAGUCGGCCUGCGCGGAAGAUGUAACGG